AUGGCCAACCCUCUUCAUCCAUUUCUCCACUCAUGUCUCCGGUAUAUAGCCUUAAACCUCAAUUUGCUGAUUGAUGCUUUCACAUGCCCAUACACACUUCAGAUUGUUAGAGAAAUUUUGUUCGCCCCCAUGAGAAAUUCCCAAGUGAUAUGGACUGCCAGCACAAGGUCGACGCCUGCUCCAAAGAAGGACGGCCACCGGCUGCCACCAAUUUUUUUACCAAACCCUUGCCCGAAGGAAAAGGGAGCAGGCGAAGAUCGCCUCCCCUUCUCCACGAACACAAUGGAGGACGUGAAUCGACACGGGGACUCCCAAAUUACAGCCAACUGA
This 330-nucleotide ribosomal RNA is filed under the name Triticum aestivum (bread wheat). RNAcentral's name for it is "partial small subunit ribosomal RNA". The record is from RNAcentral. Lineage: Eukaryota; Viridiplantae; Streptophyta; Magnoliopsida; Poales; Poaceae.